Molecule: long non-coding RNA, 1458 nt
Filed under: Homo sapiens (human)
Lineage: Eukaryota; Metazoa; Chordata; Mammalia; Primates; Hominidae
Description: HSALNT0256438
Source: RNAcentral
GCAUUUUUCACUCUCGCCAGAGAUAUCAAAGCAAAAAUGGACAAAAAAUUGGAAGGCAACAGCCCCCAGGGGAGCAACCAGGGAGUCAAAAUCACACCGGACCAGCAGAAGAGGAGCAGCUUUUUCCGAUGUGUUCUUCUGUGAGGAACACCGCCUUACUCUGAGCCUCGCUCAGCCCAGCUGACUGUGCCUGUUCUGAGUGAGCCCCUCACUCAGCCGGGGCCCUCCCACCUCCAACGCCCCGCCCACGCCGCGGCCACCGGGCCCACGGCCACCAGAAUGCAAUUGAGAAAUCGUUUAUUUUAGUAACUGUCUGAUCUUUUUCAACUUUGGAGAUGGAAUAAGUUAAAAAUUUGCUAUUUUUCCUGUAACAUCUGCUGAACGGGCCCACCCACACGUUGUAUAUUCAGAGAGAGAGAGGGAGUCAAGGUGUGACCGUCGACCACAGCCAGUGUCAGGCCUCUGCCUCUGGGCCUUUGCUUUGUGGCCUCACUGCAACACAAAGCUCCACCAGGAGGCUGGUUCACGUCCCCUACCACGGAAGCGAGGUCCCAGAAGGCCAGCGGUGGUUCCAGGAGCAACAGCUCCCAAACCCUGAGCAAGGCAACCGAUCGCCAGGACCAGGAAGCAUCACCCAGGAGAUUUGGCGCCCACUUCCACCUCUUCUCUCAGUUUUGGACAAGUGACAAACCAUUUUGCCCCCUCACUCUUCUUUUUUAACUGUUAAACCAAAGGAAAGCACAAAUGAAGGAAAUCCUGUGUAAAGCAUUGAGAAGGAAAGAAGCCUGGAGCAGCCUCUCCUGUCCACAGCCAGGGGUUAGGUCUGCAGGCCCGUCUGCGGUCCCCAUCGAGCAUCAAGGGGACGCUGUGUGUGCUGCAAGUGACCCCGAAAACAACCACAGCCGUCACAUGGUCCUCCUGAAGUUGGGGCACCCUCCUCUCAGCACCAAAAUGGCCCCCACUCCUUCGUGUCCUCCCGCUAUCUCCAAAUCGGACGUUCUUUCUAGCUGAGAUUUUUAUUUUUCCACAUCUGUAGUGCCAUGAAGCGAUUCUGUCUUUGACUUCCAAUGGCAAACCUGGGUGAUCGGGAACAAGCACGUUGUACCCUUGGCUGGACAUGGCCAAGACACAAGGCAUUCCACGGCGGCAAGCUGACCGCACAGCAGUCUGGCUUGAUUUUCAGCCGUCAUCAUUGGGUUCUGUUUUGACAGCUCUGCUGUCCCAUAGGGACUGCGACUGGGACCAGGUCAACCACGCCAGGGGGGUGUCACCAGCCUUUUCUUUUUUUCUUUCUUUUUUUUUUUUUCCUCCUUAAGCUGCUGUCAAUCCAAACCAUUGGCAUCAUCGUUUCUUUUGAAUUAAAACCAACAUAUCAGCAAUAGUCUGCUCUCCCCGGGAAUCUCUAACAUGCUCUGUUUACAUCGAUAAAUGCACUUAAGGAAAACAAACAAAUUAAAG